RNAcentral lists this ribosomal RNA (495 nucleotides) under Geobacillus stearothermophilus. RNAcentral describes it as "bacterial LSU rRNA". It matches the Rfam family "Bacterial large subunit ribosomal RNA", at positions 2159 to 2653 of the family's 2925-position model. Lineage: Bacteria; Bacillati; Bacillota; Bacilli; Caryophanales; Anoxybacillaceae. The record is from RNAcentral.
GAAGCCGGAGCGCCAGCUUCGGUGGAGGCGGCGGUGGGAUACCACCCUGGCGAUAUUGAAAUUCUAACCCGCACCCCUUAGCGGGGUGGGAGACAGUGUCAGGCGGGCAGUUUGACUGGGGCGGUCGCCUCCCAAAAGGUAACGGAGGCGCCCAAAGGUUCCCUCAGAAUGGUUGGAAAUCAUUCGGAGAGUGCAAAGGCACAAGGGAGCUUGACUGCGAGACGGACAGGUCGAGCAGGGACGAAAGUCGGGCUUAGUGAUCCGGUGGUUCCGCAUGGAAGGGCCAUCGCUCAACGGAUAAAAGCUACCCCGGGGAUAACAGGCUGAUCUCCCCCAAGAGUCCACAUCGACGGGGAGGUUUGGCACCUCGAUGUCGGCUCAUCGCAUCCUGGGGCUGUAGUCGGUCCCAAGGGUUGGGCUGUUCGCCCAUUAAAGCGGUACGCGAGCUGGGUUCAGAACGUCGUGAGACAGUUCGGUCCCUAUCCGUCGCGGGCG